ACCUUGUUUUAAGAUCUCAUUUUGUCCAAAAUUGCGUCCUAUGACAGAUAUAAUACUUAUUUCAUUAUUGCUCUGUGUAUGUGUGACCUUAAUCAUUUGAGGUUGUGUGUUGAUUUCACCUCUGAAUAUUUCCUCUUAUAGGUCCAUCAUCCUUGCAUGCGCUACACACUCAAAAGCAUUGAUAAAUGCUGAAUUUAAAAGAAUCACUACUGUCUUAUGUUCCUGCGUGUCACCUGGACCUCCAAUCCAAAAACCUGACGAAACUCUUCUAUCAGAAAGGAGGACAGCUAGCAAAAAGACUUGGAACAAUCAAUGAUCAAAUGACAGAAGGCAUGAAUGAAGUCAGCAUCAGUGUGGUCAUUUGAAGACACCACUGUUGGGAUUUGUGCUCUCAAACAACAUGCUUCUUGUGAUGAAGAAGAGGAUCUUUGUAUAGUCCUGGAAGGCAUGAAGGUGUUGCAACAUCGUGCCAUGUUGUUUGAGCUGAUGUAUGCCUUUAACCUGAGCUAUCCUGAUCUCUGCUUUAUUUUUGAGGAAAUCCAAAAGAUUUUAAUGGAACUGCAUUGAGCGUAACUUUAACGAACAGUUUCUUUCAGUGAAAGGAUCAGAAAGACUGUGCUGCUUAUUUAUGUUCUUUUUAUUUAUCUGUUUUAAGUGUUUUUUCUUAUUAAAACAUUAACAGUUUGCUGCUCAGAGUUGAUUUUGGAAAUGGUUGUUGUAUUUUGUUUUUGUUGAAUCUUUGAUUAUCAGUUUAUACAAAUGCUGUAGCUCUGACUUUCUGAAGGAUUGAUAUAUUCCAGUUUGUAAAUCCAUUUAAAAAAUAAUAG
Paramisgurnus dabryanus is the source of this 827-nucleotide long non-coding RNA. RefSeq lists it as uncharacterized. NCBI's taxonomy places the organism in Eukaryota, Metazoa, Chordata, Actinopteri, Cypriniformes, Cobitidae. The record is from RefSeq and is a predicted model, not a curated record.